GAUGAACGCUGGCGGCGUGCCUAAUACAUGCAAGUCGAUCGAACGGACGAGAAGCUUGCUUCUCUGAUGUUAGCGGCGGACGGGUGAGUAACACGUGGAUAACCUACCUAUAAGACUGGGAUAACUUCGGGAAACCGGAGCUAAUACCGGAUAAUAUUUUGAACCGCAUGGUUCAAAAGUGAAAGACGGUCUUGCUGUCACUUAUAGAUGGAUCCGCGCUGCAUUAGCUAGUUGGUAAGGUAACGGCUUACCAAGGCAACGAUGCAUAGCCGACCUGAGAGGGUGAUCGGCCACACUGGAACUGAGACACGGUCCAGACUCCUACGGGAGGCAGCAGUAGGGAAUCUUCCGCAAUGGGCGAAAGCCUGACGGAGCAACGCCGCGUGAGUGAUGAAGGUCUUCGGAUCGUAAAACUCUGUUAUUAGGGAAGAACAUAUGUGUAAGUAACUGUGCACAUCUUGACGGUACCUAAUCAGAAAGCCACGGCUAACUACGUG
Molecule: ribosomal RNA, 497 nt
Filed under: uncultured bacterium
Lineage: Bacteria
Description: partial 16S ribosomal RNA
Rfam family: Bacterial small subunit ribosomal RNA
Source: RNAcentral